UUCAUAAAGGAGCCGUAUGAUAUUAAAAUUUCAUGUUCUCCAAGCUAAUGAUGCGGGUUCGAUUCCCGCUACCCGC
RNAcentral lists this transfer RNA (76 nucleotides) under Pohlia nutans. RNAcentral's name for it is "tRNA-Gly". Lineage: Eukaryota; Viridiplantae; Streptophyta; Bryopsida; Bryales; Mniaceae. The record is from RNAcentral.